AAGUUUAUCGGCCGCGGUAUUUUGACCGUGCUAAGGUAGCGCAAUCACUUGUCUUUUAAAUGAGGACCUGUAUGAAUGGUGGAACGAGGGCUUAACUGUCUCCCCCACCCAGCCAGUGAAAUUGAUCUGCCCGUGCAGAAGCGGACAUAAAUAUACAAGACGAGAAGACCCUUUGGAGCUUAAGACAUAAGGUCAACUAAGUCAAGAUACUUUAUUACAAGAAAACAAACAAAACUAGAAGCUUGACUGUGGUCUUCGGUUGGGGCGACCUCGGGGGAAAACAUAGCCCCCAUGAAGACUGGGACAUCCUAGAACUAAGAGGGACACCUCUAAGUCACAGAACAUCUGACUAAAAGAUCCGAUAUUUUAUCGAUCAACGAACCAAGUUACCCUAGGGAUAACAGCGCAGUCCUCUUCAAGAGUCCAUAUCGACAAGGGGGUUUACGACCUCGAUGUUGGAUCAGGACAUCCUAAUGGUGCAGCCG
Molecule: ribosomal RNA, 485 nt
Filed under: Thoracocharax stellatus (spotfin hatchetfish)
Lineage: Eukaryota; Metazoa; Chordata; Actinopteri; Characiformes; Gasteropelecidae
Description: partial 16S ribosomal RNA
Rfam family: Bacterial large subunit ribosomal RNA
Source: RNAcentral